CUUGGUGUUACUGCGAAGGGGGGACGGAGAAGGCUAUGUUGGCCGGGCGACGGUUGUCCCGGUUUAAGCAUGUAGGCGGAUGUUCCAGGUAAAUCCGGAACGUUACUAACGCUGAGGUGUGAUGACGAGGCACUACGGUGCUGAAGUGACAAAUGCCCUGCUUCCAGGAAAAGCCUCUAAGCAUCAGGUAACAUCAAAUCGUACCCCAA
This 209-nucleotide ribosomal RNA is filed under the name Klebsiella oxytoca. Its description in RNAcentral is "partial 23S ribosomal RNA". It matches the Rfam family "Bacterial large subunit ribosomal RNA", at positions 1443 to 1652 of the family's 2925-position model. The record is from RNAcentral. Lineage: Bacteria; Pseudomonadati; Pseudomonadota; Gammaproteobacteria; Enterobacterales; Enterobacteriaceae.